This 496-nucleotide ribosomal RNA is filed under the name uncultured bacterium. RNAcentral describes it as "partial 16S ribosomal RNA". It matches the Rfam family "Bacterial small subunit ribosomal RNA", at positions 29 to 507 of the family's 1533-position model. The record is from RNAcentral.
AUGAACGCUGGCGGCGUGCCUAAUACAUGCCAGUCGAGCGAACAGACGAGGAGCUUGCUCCUCUGACGUUAGCGGCGGACGGGUGAGUAACACGUGGAUAACCUACCUAUAAGACUGGGAUAACUUCGGGAAACCGGAGCUAAUACCGGAUAAUAUAUUUAACCGCAUGGUUCAAUAGUGAAAGACGGUUUUGCUGUCACUUAUAGAUGGAUCCGCGCCGCAUUAGCUAGUUGGUAAGGUAACGGCUUACCAAGGCAACGAUGCGUAGCCGACCUGAGAGGGUGAUCGGCCACACUGGAACUGAGACACGGUCCAGACUCCUACGGGAGGCAGCAGUAGGGAAUCUUCCGCAAUGGGCGAAAGCUUGACGGAGCAACGCCGCGUGAGUGAUGAAGGUCUUCGGAUCGUAAAACUCUGUUAUUAGGGAAGAACAAAUGUGUAAGUAACUAUGCACGUCUUGACGGUACCUAAUCAGAAAGCCACGGCUAACUACGUG